Non-coding RNA from Electrophorus electricus (electric eel), 560 nucleotides. Lineage: Eukaryota; Metazoa; Chordata; Actinopteri; Gymnotiformes; Gymnotidae. The record is from RefSeq and is a predicted model, not a curated record.
GUGGUCAGAGUAUCCGAGGUGGGGGCGUGGCUCCGCCCGGUACGCACCGGAAAUGUUUGUGUAAACGAAAUCCAGCGCGUUCGCUUCUCUCGUUGCAAACGAGACGCUAUAGGAUAGUGUACCACGCCGACCUUAGCAUCAUUAGCAAUCGUUAGUCAAGGUUUAUGAUUUUACAUCUUAGAUGCAAAACGGUGUUAUUCAAGUCCAGAUAAUCAUCACCAUUGCCUGCCACAUAUAAUUCGAUCAGAGAACUGUCGGUAAUGGCUGAAAGCAGUGGGAUUUCUACGUAUGUGUACUUUUCGAUACUCAUUUGGGUGUAAGAGGAAGAGGAUGAAGAACGCUUGUUACUUCUUCGUCUGUUCUUCUUCACACUGACUUUACUCUUGGUGAUCUUAUGAUUUUUAUUUAUGGAUACAGCACGCCUACCUGGAGGACGUCUAGCGUUCUUGACAACUCGACAUCUGGAGGAGGUUUAGUGGUGUUCUCAAUCAGUCCAGCUACAUCUCAACUACAGGACUUCACAAACUCAGGAGGGCUUUGGAACUGCCAAUCUGCUGUCC